This 87-nucleotide transfer RNA is filed under the name Acidobacteriota bacterium. RNAcentral's name for it is "Acidobacteria bacterium (activated sludge metagenome) tRNA-Leu". It matches the Rfam family "tRNA". From Rfam's summary of the family: Transfer RNA (tRNA) molecules are approximately 80 nucleotides in length. Their secondary structure includes four short double-helical elements and three loops (D, anti-codon, and T loops). RNAcentral also lists the same sequence under 1 other name. The record is from RNAcentral. Lineage: Bacteria; Pseudomonadati; Acidobacteriota.
GGCUCGGUGAUGGAAUUUGGCAGACAUAGCGGACUUAAAAUCCGCUGCUGGGUGACUGGCGUGCCGGUUCGAGUCCGGCCCGAGCCA